UGCAGUCGAACGAAGUAGCAAUACUUAGUGGCGAACGGGUGAGUAUAAUGUGGGCAUCUGCCUUUUGGUUUGGAAUAACACGGGGAAACUUGUGCUAAUACUGGAUAAGCCUUUACAGGGAAAGCUUUAGCGCCAAAAGAUGAGCCCAUACUUGAUUAGCUAGUUGGUAAGGUAAUGGCUUACCAAGGCUACGAUCAAUAGCUGAUCUGAGAGGAUGAUCAGCCACAUUGGGGCUGAGACACGGCCCAAACUCCUACGGGAGGCAGCAGUGGGGAAUUUUGCACAAUGGGGGAAACCCUGAUGCAGCGAUGCCGCGUGAGUGAAGAAGGCCUUUGGGUUGUAAAGCUCUUUCGUCGGGGAAGAAAAUGACUGUACCCGAAUAAGAAGGUCCGGCUAACUUCGUGCCAGCAGCCGCGGUAAUACGAAGGGACCUAGCGUAGUUCGGAAUUACUGGGCUUAAAGAGUUCGUAGGCGGUUCGGUAAGUCAGGUGUGAAAGCUCGAGGCUCAACCUCGAGAUGCCACCUGAUACUGCUGUGACUUGAGUCCGGUAGAGGAGUGUGGAAUUCCUGGUGUAGCGGUGAAAUGCGCAGAUAUCAGGAGGAACACCAAUUGCGAAGGCAGCACUCUGGGCCGGUACUGACGCUGAGGAGCGAAAGCGUGGGGAGCGAACAGGAUUAGAUACCCUGGUAGUCCACGCCGUAAACGUUGGGCACU
RNAcentral lists this ribosomal RNA (715 nucleotides) under uncultured Candidatus Pelagibacter sp. RNAcentral's name for it is "bacterial SSU rRNA". It matches the Rfam family "Bacterial small subunit ribosomal RNA", at positions 56 to 817 of the family's 1533-position model. Lineage: Bacteria; Pseudomonadati; Pseudomonadota; Alphaproteobacteria; Candidatus Pelagibacterales; Candidatus Pelagibacteraceae. The record is from RNAcentral.